RNAcentral lists this long non-coding RNA (876 nucleotides) under Salmo salar (Atlantic salmon). RNAcentral describes it as "lncRNA (ENSSSAG00000081822.1)". Lineage: Eukaryota; Metazoa; Chordata; Actinopteri; Salmoniformes; Salmonidae. The record is from RNAcentral.
CCUGUUAAUUGAAAUGCAUUCUAGAUGACUGCCUCAUGAACCUGGUUGAGAGAAUGCCAAGAGUGUGCAAAGCUGUCAUCAAGGCAAAGGGUGGCUACUUUACAUAGAUUGUCCUCCAUGCUAACUUAUUGCCUGUUUCCUCACCCCUGCUGCCUGCUGGACCCAGUCGCUUGAGCUAAUGGACCUGCUCAAACCUCCACCUCCUCCUCCACCAUUGACCUACCAGGCCUCCAAUACCAGCUGACAAAUGCCCCCUGUCACAACGAACACUACAAAUGAUCUUCUCUUUUUCUCUCUCCCUCCGUCUCUCUCGAUCUGUCUUCACAGGUGGCUCUGCCCAGCGUUCCUCACUCUGUUGCACCCACCUCCCUCUCACCAUUGCCUCAGGCCCUGGCCUCUAAUGUACUCCUCUGGGACCCCAGCAGAGUCCAGAGGCCCAGAGACCAAAGAACCAGGCCUGCCUGCUGCUCCACUCUUCAUGCUCACUUGAAUUGAAUAUCUGAGAAAAACCUGUGGCCCUCUCUACCAUUCCCCCCACCCCACCCCCUUCUUUCCCUCUCCAUCUUCUUUGGUGACUGUGCUAUUUUUGGCUCUCCUCUGGACAUAUGUCAUUGAGGAGUGCGUGCAGUGGCUGGAUAAUUAAGGCUACCUCAAAGCGGGCAUAAAAAAUUGGGAGAUAUUUAUUAGGCAGUACAUUAGCUGCUUGUCGUGAGUGCGUGUCAGGCCUGUAAAACAAAGUUUGAUUGAGAAAGUCAGAAAAUGUGGUAGUGUAACUACUGUUGUUGCCGUUGGUACUCCAGCAGAGACGUGGAAAUCAUUCACUCACAAAGAUGUACUUGAUUUGGUCUGAUUCAUUUAUUGUAUAAAUAAAUUGUG